This 708-nucleotide ribosomal RNA is filed under the name Pseudevernia furfuracea. RNAcentral describes it as "LSU rRNA". The stretch from base 1 to 419 matches the Rfam family "Bacterial large subunit ribosomal RNA", at positions 929 to 1302 of the family's 2925-position model. The record is from RNAcentral. Lineage: Eukaryota; Fungi; Ascomycota; Lecanoromycetes; Lecanorales; Parmeliaceae.
GACUCCUAUCAGUGAGUAUUUGUUCUCGGAAGGACUAGAUAUGAAUAUUGGAAUAAUCAGACAUAGUNCGAUAAGGUUGUAUGUCUAAAGGGAAACAGCCCAGAACAAGAGUUAAUAAGGUUCCAAAAUUAUUGUUAAGUGAAAUUAAGGCAGUAUUUAUCCAAAUCGGCCAGGGAAUAGGCUUAGAAGCGGCCAUUUUYUGAAGACCUCGUAACAGAGCACUGGUCUUGUUUUAAUGAUAAUAGGGAUAAAAGCACCGAAAAUUUAACGGAUCUAAACAAUAUACCGAGACCUUGUCCAAAUAUAUUAAUGUAUCUAAAUUUUACAUUGUAUAUUAGGGGUAGCGGAACAUUGGGGAAGUUUCUUAUUAUGCCUUUAUAAGGCAUAACAUAAUUAACAACCCAAGCGAGAAUGCUGACAUGAGUAACGAUAAAGGGGAAUACCCUCGCCUAAAGCUUAUGGAAUUUAAUUAAAGUUACGGCCUCUAAGUUUAUUAUAUAUUUAAUGAAUAAUCUGUUAUUUAUUAAUAAUCCCAAAGGGGGUAAACCGAUGAGCAAAUCUAACGAUUUAUAGAAAAUAUCAUUUUUACAUAGUGACAAAUGAUCUGGAAAAGCUGUAUAUCUCAUUUGCUAAAUAUGAAUAAACUAAAACAGAUGAUAUGUUUAGCAGAUGGUUACCGUACCUAAAUACUACCACCAAGUAAGCAAG